This 723-nucleotide small RNA is filed under the name Trichilia appendiculata. RNAcentral describes it as "eukaryotic LSU rRNA". The stretch from base 310 to 455 matches the Rfam family "5.8S ribosomal RNA". The record is from RNAcentral. Lineage: Eukaryota; Viridiplantae; Streptophyta; Magnoliopsida; Sapindales; Meliaceae.
AGUCGUAACAAGGUUUCCGUAGGUGAACCUGCGGAAGGAUCAUUGUCGAAACCUGCCCAGCAGAACGACCCGCGAACUUGUGAUUAUGCUCGAGCGGGGACGGCGUGGGGAGCUCUGGCUGCCCUCGUUGGCCCCCUCCUGCUGUGUGGGUUGAGCGGGAUCUCUCGCUCGCUCGCUCCUCGCAGCAGAACAACAAACCCCCGGCGCGAGCUGCGCCAAGGAAAAUUUAACGAGAGCGAGCGCUCCCGCCGCCCCGGACACGGAUCGACGUGCGGGAUGCGUCUCCUUCUUUCAAUGAAAAUCAAAAACGACUCUCGGCAACGGAUAUCUCGGCUCUCGCAUCGAUGAAAAAUGCGAUACUUGGUGUGAAUUGCAGAAUCCCGUGAACCAUCGAGUCUUUGAACGCAAGUUGCGCCCCAAGCCUUUAGGCCGAGGGCACGCCUGCCUGGGUGUCACGCAUUGUUGCCCCCCAAACCCCCUCUUGGGGAAUAGCUGGUCGGGCGAAAAAUGGCCUCCCGUGCGCUCCCGCUCGCGGUUGGCCCAAAUCUGAGUCUUUCGGCGACCGUGCCGCGACGAUCGGUGGUGUAACAUGCCUCUCGAGCUCCUGUCGCGCGCUCGCGUUUCCGUGCCAUGGGCUCGCGAACCCUUGUAAGCUCCUUCUCUUCGAGACGGUGCUCGCUUUGCGACCCCAGGUCAGGCGGGACUACCCGCUGAGUUUAAGCA